UCUGAAUGCCAGGGAAAGCAAUAGUUAAGGACUUUGGGAAAGUCAUGUACACACUGCUACAUUUGAAAUGGAUAACCAACAAAAAUCUAUUGUAUGGCACACGGGACUCUGCUCAAUGGUAUGUGCCAGCCUGGAGCCGGGUGGUGUUUGGGGGAGAAUGGAUACAAG
Molecule: long non-coding RNA, 168 nt
Organism: Cervus elaphus (red deer)
Lineage: Eukaryota; Metazoa; Chordata; Mammalia; Artiodactyla; Cervidae
Exons: 3
Source: RefSeq, a predicted model, not a curated record